CCAGGAAGGCAGCAGGCGCGCAAAUUACCCAAUCCCGAUACGGGGAGGUAGUGACAAUAAAUACUGAUACGGGGCUCUUUUGGGUCUCGUAAUUGGAAUGAGAACAAUUUAAAUCCCUUAACGAGGAACAAUUGGAGGGCAAGUCUGGUGCCAGCAGCCGCGGUAAUUCCAGCUCCAAUAGCGUAUAUUAAAGUUGUUGCAGUUAAAAAGCUCGUAGUUGAACCUUGGGUCUGGCUGGCCGGUCCGCCUCACCGCGAGUACUGUCCGGCUGGACCUUUCCUUCUGGGGAACCUCAUGGCCUUCACUGGCUGUGGGGGGAACCAGGACUUUUACUGUGAAAAAAUUAGAGUGUUCAAAGCAGGCCUUUGCUCGAAUACAUUAGCAUGGAAUAAUAGAAUAGGACGUGCGGUUCUAUUUUGUUGGUUUCUAGGACCGCCGUAAUGAUUAAUAGGGAUAGUCGGGGGCGUCAGUAUUCAGCUGUCAGAGGUGAAAUUCUUGGAUUUGCUGAAGACUAACUACU
RNAcentral lists this ribosomal RNA (520 nucleotides) under Penicillium decumbens. Its description in RNAcentral is "SSU rRNA". It matches the Rfam family "Eukaryotic small subunit ribosomal RNA", at positions 417 to 944 of the family's 1831-position model. The record is from RNAcentral. Lineage: Eukaryota; Fungi; Ascomycota; Eurotiomycetes; Eurotiales; Aspergillaceae.